This is a small nucleolar RNA of Carcharodon carcharias (great white shark), 133 nucleotides long. NCBI's taxonomy places the organism in Eukaryota, Metazoa, Chordata, Chondrichthyes, Lamniformes, Lamnidae. The record is from RefSeq and is a predicted model, not a curated record.
UGGCACCUUUCAUUGUCUUGUUCUCUGUUCUUGUGAGAUCAGUGAUAUUUCUAAUGUGCCAGAGUAAAACUGGAGGUUAAUUAGCAGAUGGUCUAACCACUUAACCAUAGCUGCCAGUCCCCUCCAUACAUUU